This 1919-nucleotide small RNA is filed under the name Pan troglodytes (chimpanzee). Its description in RNAcentral is "retained intron". The record is from RNAcentral. Lineage: Eukaryota; Metazoa; Chordata; Mammalia; Primates; Hominidae.
AAUCGCCAGGGUAUCUAUGGCCGGGCUCAGGCGGCUGCUGGGGAGCCAGGAGACCGCGCGGGACGGCGGAUGAGGCGCGGCGGCUGCGGCCCAGGGCACCUCCCCUCUGGCUUCCCGAACCCGGCCAGGUCAGACCCGAGGGAGAGGAUGGAAACACCUGCCGCGCUCUGAGCCCCCCAGAAGAGAACACCCUUCCCGCCAUAUCACCCCACGGUCCUGCGGAGGCCACCGCCUGGUCCCCCCAAGUCUCCAUCGCGCAGCGUGGGGCCGAGAGGAAUAGUGAGCGAUGGCGGAAAACCUGAAAAGACUGGUCUCAAACGAAACUUUACGAACGUUGCAGGAAAAGCUAGACUUCUGGCUGAAGGAGUACAACACAAACACGUGUGAUCAAAAUCUAAACCAUUGCCUUGAACUCAUUGAGCAAGUUGCCAAGGUGCAGGGACAACUCUUUGGGAUCCUCACAGCAGCAGCCCAAGAAGGAGGACGUAAUGAUGGUGUGGAAACAAUCAAGUCACGCCUUUUGCCUUGGCUGGAGGCUUCCUUUACUGCUGCUUCCAUGGGAAAAUCUGUUGACAGCAAGGUCCCCUCUCUGCAGGACACGUUUGAUAGGGAGAGACAUAAAGAUCCCAGUCCUCGGGAUCGGGAUAUGCAACAGUUAGACUCUAAUUUGAACUCAACCCGGAGUCAACUCAACCAGGUUCAAGACGAUCUGGCUGAAACUGAAAAGAAUCUUGAAGAAAGCAAGAACAGAUCGGCCAUAUCCCUUUUGGCUGCAGAGGAGGAAAUAAAUCAGCUGAAAAAGCAGCUUAAAUCUCUUCAAGCUCAGGAGGAUGCCCGCCACAGAAACACAGAUCAGAGGAGCUCAGAGAAUAGGCGGUCAGAGCCUCGGAGCUUGGAGGAGCGGAAGUGUGAGCAGUGGAACUCACUCAAGCAGAAUGCAGACCAGCAGGACACAGAAGCCAUGUCCGAUUAUAAGAAACAGCUCCGAAACCUGAAGGAGGAGAUAGCUGUUCUGUCUGCUGAGAAAAGUGCACUCCAAGGAAGGUCCUCCAGGAGCCGGUCUCCCAGCCCUGCCCCUCGCAGCCGUAGCUGCAGCCGCAGCAGAUCUGCCAGCCCCUCCACCGCUGUCAAGGUCAGGAGCCCGUCCCCAAACCGCUCCAGGCUGUCCAAUGUGGCGCGCAAGGCUGCCCUCUUGUCCCGGUUCAGAGAUUCCUAUUCCCAGGCCCGCCUGGACGCGCAGUGCCUGCUGCGGCGCUGCAUCGACAAGGCUGAGACCGUUCAGCGGAUCAUCUACAUCGCCACAGUGGAGGCUUUCCAUGUAGCAAAAAUGGCAUUCAGACACUUCAAGAUCCGUGUGAGAAAAUCGUUGACACCAUCUUACGUGGGGUCGAAUGACUUUGAGAAUGCUGUCUUGGAUUAUGUCAUUUGUCAUCUUGAUCUAUAUGAUUCUCAAAGCAGUGUCAAUGAUGUGAUCCGAGCCAUGAAUGUCAAUCCCAAGAUUUCAUUCCCUCCUGUCGUUGACUUUUGCCUUCUCAGUGACUUCAUCCAGGAGAUAUGUUGCAUUGCCUUUGCAAUGCAGGCCUUAGAACCACCCCUAGAUAUUGCAUAUGGGGCAGAUGGAGAAGUUUUUAAUGAUUGCAAAUACCGCCGCAGCUACGACUCGGAUUUCACUGCUCCCUUAGUCCUCUAUCACGUGUGGCCUGCUCUCAUGGAGAAUGACUGUGUCAUUAUGAAGGGAGAAGCUGUCACCAGGAGAGGGGCUUUUGUACGGUGGCCUUGCAUAGUGACAAUUCAUCCCAAGUGUUUGAUUCACAAGUUCGAGAACAUUUAUAAACCCAGAGAUUCUAUAAAAGAUGUUUAUAAAGAGUUGAUAAGAUUUCAUACAAAGGAGAGGUCGGAGAUGAUCUCAAGAAGAACUG